AUGGCCGAGCAGCCUCAGCCACAGCAGAUGAAAACUUCCUUCCUUUUCAUCCAGCUGCAGCCCCCACCAACCCGAGCUACCCAAACUCUCCCCGCCCCUUCUCCAGCAACCGCAGUCGCAACAGCAGCCCCAGGGGGCCUGGAGGAGGGACACAUUUUCCCAAGUCCCAGAACAAGCUUCUUCUCUGCUCCCUGGAACUUCAGAUGUACGCAGGGCUUAGCUACAUCGCCUUCGAGUCUGCUGCCCCGGGAAGGCCCUAGAACACUGAGACCAGCUGCUUUCAAUUGCUACUCGCUGAAGGAAAAGAAGGAAGAAACAGAGAAAUCUCAGAAUCUGCAUGUAAAGAGGAGUGGGGUUUGUGGAUCCCCACAUAGUAGGCAUUGCCUGGUCCCUGCUUCUAGGAAACUUGGCCUACCACAACAACCGCCAUGUAGGCUUGCUAGCCCAGCUCCUACACUGAAUGAUGGAAACAGCAGUCCUUCCAUAGGCUGGAAGCACCAGCCAGUCAUUUCUGCCCACGAGGACCUGUGGGAUAUGGACCCAGAAGCCAGGAAUGUCAUCGAAUUCUCAGUUCCACAAAGCACCCUGUCCUAUGCAGCUGACAGGGGCAAAAGGGUACUUCAGAGGAGAGGGACUGUAAACCAAGAGGUACUCCCAAAGAACUGUGAAGAAGACAUAGGUACCACAGUGCUGGCAACAAGGGCACAGCUCUUCAGAUAUUGCCCAACCAUUCAGAUCAGCCAGAGCUGCCUGGCCCCACCUGCUGCCGUGCCUCUCAAGAAAUUGGGGUUGGUAUUUCUAGUUUCAGAUAUGAGAAUUAAGGUGUGG
RNAcentral lists this long non-coding RNA (828 nucleotides) under Mus caroli (Ryukyu mouse). Its description in RNAcentral is "lncRNA (MGP_CAROLIEiJ_G0006675.1)". The record is from RNAcentral. Lineage: Eukaryota; Metazoa; Chordata; Mammalia; Rodentia; Muridae.